UUAGGAAUCUGCCUAUUAGUGGGGGACAACAUUUCGAAAGGAAUGCUAAUACCGCAUACGUCCUACGGGAGAAAGCAGGGGAUCUUCGGACCUUGCGCUAAUAGAUGAGCCUAAGUCGGAUUAGCUAGUUGGUGGGGUAAAGGCCUACCAAGGCGACGAUCUGUAGCGGGUCUGAGAGGAUGAUCCGCCACACUGGGACUGAGACACGGCCCAGACUCCUACGGGAGGCAGCAGUGGGGAAUAUUGGACAAUGGGCGCAAGCCUGAUCCAGCCAUGCCGCGUGUGUGAAGAAGGCCUUAUGGUUGUAAAGCACUUUAAGCGAGGAGGAGGCUACUUUAGUUAAUACCUAGAGAUAGUGGACGUUACUCGCAGAAUAAGCACCGGCUAACUCUGUGCCAGCAGCCGCGGUAAUACAGAGGGUGCAAGCGUUAAUCGGAUUUACUGGGCGUAAAGCGCGCGUAGGCGGCUAAUUAAGUCAAAUGUGAAAUCCCCGAGCUUAACUUGGGAAUUGCAUUCGAUACUGGUUAGCUAGAGUGUGGGAGAGGAUGGUAGAAUUCCAGGUGUAGCGGUGAAAUGCGUAGAGAUCUGGAGGAAUACCGAUGGCGAAGGCAGCCAUCUGGCCUAACACUGACGCUGAGGUGCGAAAGCAUGGGGAGCAAACAGGAUUAGAUACCCUGGUAGUCCAUGCCGUAAACGAUGUCUACUAGCCGUUGGGGCCUUUGAGGCUUUAGUGGCGCAGCUAACGCGAUAAGUAGACCGCCUGGGGGAGUACGGUCGCAAGACUAAAACUCAAAUGAAUUGACGGGGGCCCGCACAAGCGGUGGAGCAUGUGGUUUAAUUCGAUGCAACGCGAAGAACCUUACCUGGCCUUGACAUAGUAAGAACUUUCCAGAGAUGGAUUGGUGCCUUCGGGAACUUACAUACAGGUGCUGCAUGGCUGUAGUCAGCUCGUGUCGUGAGAUGUUGGGUUAAGUCCCGCAACGAGCGCAACCCUUUUCCUUAUUUGCCAGCGAGUAAUGUCGGGAACUUUAAGGAUACUGCCAGUGACAAACUGGAGGAAGGCGGGGACGACGUCAAGUCAUCAUGGCCCUUACGGCCAGGGCUACACACGUGCUACAAUGGUCGGUACAAAGGGUUGCUACCUAGCGAUAGGAUGCUAAUCUCAAAAAGCCGAUCGUAGUCCGGAUUGGAGUCUGCAACUCGACUCCAUGAAGUCGGAAUCGCUAGUAAUCGCGGAUCAGAAUGCCGCGGUGAAUAC
RNAcentral lists this ribosomal RNA (1258 nucleotides) under Acinetobacter sp. 168B. RNAcentral describes it as "bacterial SSU rRNA". It matches the Rfam family "Bacterial small subunit ribosomal RNA", at positions 117 to 1369 of the family's 1533-position model. The record is from RNAcentral. Lineage: Bacteria; Pseudomonadati; Pseudomonadota; Gammaproteobacteria; Moraxellales; Moraxellaceae.